GACGAACGCUGGCGGCGUGCUUAACACAUGCAAGUCGAACGAAGUGGCGAACGGGUGAGUAACGCGUAAUCAACCUGCCCUUCAGAGGGGGACAACAGGUGGAAACGACUGCUAAUACCGCAUACUGAAGGAGGGGAUUGAGUCUGAUAAGCUAGUUGGAGGGGUAACGGCCCACCAAGGCGAGGAUCAGUAGCCGGUCUGAGAGGGUGAACGGCCACAUUGGGACUGAGACACGGCCCAGACUCCUACGGGAGGCAGCAGUGGGGAAUCUUCCGCAAUGGACGAAAGUCUGACGGAGCAACGCCGCGUGAGUGAUGACGGCCUUCGGGUUGUAAAGCUCUGUUAAUCGGGACGCGGUACCGAAAUAGAAAGCCACGGCUAACUACGUGCCAGCAGCCGCGGUAAUUC
RNAcentral lists this ribosomal RNA (408 nucleotides) under uncultured bacterium. Its description in RNAcentral is "partial 16S ribosomal RNA". It matches the Rfam family "Bacterial small subunit ribosomal RNA", at positions 28 to 526 of the family's 1533-position model. The record is from RNAcentral.